Long non-coding RNA from Hippocampus zosterae (dwarf seahorse), 318 nucleotides. RefSeq lists it as uncharacterized. Lineage: Eukaryota; Metazoa; Chordata; Actinopteri; Syngnathiformes; Syngnathidae. The record is from RefSeq and is a predicted model, not a curated record. The transcript is spliced from 2 exons.
CUGUGCUACUAGUAGUACUACUGAAAUGAAGUAUUUCAACCAGUUCUAGUCAAUCUGGCGCUCCACUCAUAAUACUGGGAGCAGGCUGUUUUCGACUACCGCAGUUUUGCCUUUCGAGUAACACGUGGCUGUCCUAGUCAGGGCGGCCCGUUGUCCUCCUAGUGAGGGCAAAGAGUGUGCUCAUAAUACGAGAUGAGAUGGAUACUAAGGAUAUCUCAUUGAUAUUAUUCACAGUGCACUAGUUUUCUGUCAUAAAUAAGCACACUCACUACUGAAUGUUGAAUAAAUGUAUAAAUAUGCCAGAUGUGAGGACAAAAA